This 102-nucleotide ribosomal RNA is filed under the name Salvator merianae (Argentine black and white tegu). The record is from RNAcentral. Lineage: Eukaryota; Metazoa; Chordata; Lepidosauria; Squamata; Teiidae.
GCAUUUAGGUUGUAUCAGCUGAUUUUGUCUGAUCUUGGAAGAUGAGCAAGUGAAGACCUGAUUAGUACUUGAAUUGGGAGACAUCUGGGAAUAUCAGAUGCU